AUUUAUUUUUCUAUCGUAAUCUUCCUUUUGUGAGAGACAUUAGAUAUUUGAGAUCUGCGAUUGAGAGAUUGAGAUAUUUCAUCGUUCUCUUUUUAUUUCGUUCCAUUAUUUCAAAUUUGUUUCUUAUAUUGUAUAACUUUUGUUUAGAGUUUCAAUUUCUCAGUUGAAAUUUCUAGAUUUAAGGAGAGAUCAGAUUUAAGGUUUUUUAGGCUUCUUAGAUUUGUUUUCUUUUUUGGGGAAUGAGCUCUACAAUCGAUCAAGUUUUGGGCAUGAAAGCCUGAUGAGCUCACCGAACUGACAACAUGCUCUUCCUUAAGGACACUACUUUGUGGAUGACAAAUAUUCUUGCCGGACAACCUAAUGAAUGAGAAGAACGAAUUAAAAUGAAAGGAAUUGAUCUUUAAAGGCUUAAGAUACAUUUCGUAGAUAUUUGAAAAUGAUUACGAGGAAGAGGAGGAAGAACAUAAGCAAAUAGGAUGUCCAACGGACGUACAACAUGUAUCUCACGUAGCAGUCGAGGGCUCGGCUAUAGCUAACCCAAGCUGGGUAAGAUGGAUAUGUCGGAGGAUGCUUAGCCCAUAACUGCUCGUAAUCCAACUGGCAGUAGGAGAUCCAGCGCCUAGAGAAGUUUGUCAUGAAGCAAUUUUGUCCUCUUUUAACACUAAGAGGUAAAUUUCUUAGUUCAAUCUGGGCAUAGAUGGGGAUGAGAAGAGGGCAUAGAUGGGGAUGAGAAGACUAGGAUAUGAGGGUUGAUUUGUUGGAUGGGGGCUGGUGAUGAAAUUGGAGGAAGCCGAACUAGUGGUAGUAUCGAGUCAGUUGAAGAUGAGAAAGAAGUUCUUAUGGUGGGUGUGAUUUUGGAUGUAAAGAAUAUUAGAGAGAAGUAAGAAUGGUGGUGUUGUUGUUAGUAUUUGUGUUUGUUGUUCAUGGUGUAACUGAAAUAGGAAUGGUUUGUAUUUGUGUUUGUUGUUGG
Molecule: long non-coding RNA, 970 nt
Organism: Papaver somniferum (opium poppy)
Lineage: Eukaryota; Viridiplantae; Streptophyta; Magnoliopsida; Ranunculales; Papaveraceae
Exons: 3
Source: RefSeq, a predicted model, not a curated record